Molecule: ribosomal RNA, 278 nt
Filed under: uncultured prokaryote
Description: partial 16S ribosomal RNA
Rfam family: Bacterial small subunit ribosomal RNA
Source: RNAcentral
UACGAAGGGUGCAAGCGUUAAUCGGAAUUACUGGGCGUAAAGCGCGCGUAGGUGGUUCGUUAAGUUAGGAGUGAAAGCCCCGGGCUCAACCUGGGAAUUGCUUCUAAAACUGGCGGGCUAGAGUAUGGUAGAGGGUGGUGGAAUUUCCUGUGUAGCGGUGAAAUGCGUAGAUAUAGGAAGGAACAUCAGUGGCGAAGGCGACCACCUGGACUGAUACUGACACUGAGGUGCGAAAGCGUGGGGAGCAAACAGGAUUAGAUACCCCGGUAGUCCCUGAG